RNAcentral lists this ribosomal RNA (254 nucleotides) under uncultured bacterium. Its description in RNAcentral is "partial 16S ribosomal RNA". It matches the Rfam family "Bacterial small subunit ribosomal RNA", at positions 524 to 776 of the family's 1533-position model. The record is from RNAcentral.
UACGAAGGGGGCUAGCGUUGUUCGGAAUUACUGGGCGUAAAGCGUGCGCAGGCGGCUUCUCAAGUCAGGGGUGAAAGCCCAGAGCUUAACUCUGGAAUUGCCUUUGAGACUGAGAGGCUUGAGUACGGGAGAGGUGAGUGGAAUUCCCAGUGUAGAGGUGAAAUUCGUAGAUAUUGGGAAGAACACCGGUGGCGAAGGCGGCUCACUGGCCCGUAACUGACGCUCCAUGCACGACAGCGUGGGGAUCAAACAGG